Molecule: ribosomal RNA, 920 nt
Filed under: uncultured bacterium
Lineage: Bacteria
Description: bacterial SSU rRNA
Rfam family: Bacterial small subunit ribosomal RNA
Source: RNAcentral
ACGCUAGCUACAGGCUUAACACAUGCAAGUCGAGGGGAAACGGCAUUAAGUGCUUGCACUUUUUGGACGUCGACCGGCGCACGGGUGAGUAACGCGUAUCCAACCUUCCCAUGACUAAGGGAUAACCUGCCGAAAGGCAGACUAAUACCUUAUGGUCUUCACUGACGGCAUCAGAUGUGAAGUAAAGAUUUAUCGGUUAUGGAUGGGGAUGCGUCUGAUUAGUUAGUUGGCGGGGUAACGGCCCACCAAGGCAACGAUCAGUAGGGGUUCUGAGAGGAAGGUCCCCCACAUUGGAACUGAGACACGGUCCAAACUCCUACGGGAGGCAGCAGUGAGGAAUAUUGGUCAAUGGGCGAGAGCCUGAACCAGCCAAGUAGCGUGCAGGAUGACGGCCCUAUGGGUUGUAAACUGCUUUUGUAUGGGGAUAAAGUCAAUCACGUGUGAUUGUUUGCAGGUACCAUACGAAUAAGGACCGGCUAAUUCCGUGCCAGCAGCCGCGGUAAUACGGAAGGUCCGGGCGUUAUCCGGAUUUAUUGGGUUUAAAGGUAGCGUAGGCUGGAGAUUAAGUGUGUUGUGAAAUGUAGACGCUCAACGUCUGACUUGCAGCGCAUACUGGUUUCCUUGAGUACGCACAACGUUGGCGGAAUUCGUCGUGUAGCGGUGAAAUGCUUAGAUAUGACGAAGAACUCCGAUUGCGAAGGCAGCUGACGGGAGCGCAACUGACGCUGAAGCUCGAAGGUGCGGGUAUCGAACAGGAUUAGAUACCCUGGUAGUCCGCACAGUAAACGAUGGAUGCCCGCUGUUGGUACGUGGUAUCAGCGGCUAAGCGAAAGCAUUAAGCAUCUCACCUGGGGAGUACGCCGGCAACGGUGAAACUCAAAGGAAUUGACGGGGGCCCGCACAAGCGGAGGAACAUGUGG